CUCACGAGUCACGCUCUCACCCUCACCUUCCUCAAAUCUCAUCUCAUGAUUUUGCCUCUCAUGCUCCUUCGACGGUCGUCCCGUCGGUGUUCUCCAAAAUCUCUCUCUACUCCUUUGACAUCUAACCUAGCCACCCUCGCUGCUUCGACGGUCAUCCUAACAAUGUUUCGCCCAUAGAUGUACGAUUUUGGCAUCUUCAUUCAAGCCUAGCCACCCUCGUCUUCCUCUCUACUUCUCUUCCUCGCUGUUCAUUCACUUCAAGUCUAUCGGGGUCUUCCACCGGCAUCUUACCCAUAGAUCUAUGAUUUCAACGUCUUCCAAGACCAGCCGCUAUCGUCUUCCUCUCUACUUUUUUUCCUCACUGUUCAUUCAUUUCAAGCUCACCGACGUCUUCCACCGGCAUCUCACCCUCAGAUCUGUUUGGUUGUUGUUCGUUCAUUUCAAGCUCACUUGUCGCCGUCUCCUCCCAUCCAAGGUGAAAAUGACUUUAUCAAAUAAUUAUAAGUUAGAAUAAGGUGGCUCAACUCCAACAUUUAUGAACAGGAGUGAAUCAACCUCAAUGAAUAAUGUUUCAAGUGAUAAUGAUCAAUCUACACCUAUUACAUUAGGUAGUGAUGAUAAUGGGGAUUUAUUAAAACGUAAUUAGUUGAUACUGGUACUAUGAAACCAUUAUAAAAGAAAAAAAAUAAAUGAUACCAUGAACCCAUCGGUCCACUAUGUCAAAAAUAGUGUGAGAUGAGAUGAUAGAUCACCCCUACUAGUCUAACAUGUAUCACAUACAUAACUCAUAAUAGGUCCCAUAACACAAUUAUAAUGUAACAUAACAUAUUGUUUCAGCUUGCACAUAGUCCUCAUAAUCUUCCUGAAUCAUAGAAAAAUCACAUAAUCCAGGUAAAUGACCUAAAAAGAAAUCCAUCAUUAACUUAAUAUUUUUUAACUUGGACGCCUAGCACAAAAGUACCGAUAAUAGUUUCACUUACCUCAAGAUCAAAUCUAGAUAUAAGCAAGUUAUCCACGUAAAAUCAUUGAAUUCGAAAUCACUCCUAAAACAGGAAUCAAAACUUAAAGUUAACAUUUAAGUUCUAAAUUCAACCACCAAAUCAUCCAAAUAAUUUCUAACAAAUCUAAACAAUUUUCACCCACAAUGUGAUGGUCCAAAAUCACCAAAAAUCAAUCUCCACACCCACUGGACAACACCUCAAUUCCUUCCAAAAACUUCAAUUCAACCUUCAAAUGCCAAGAGCCAAAAGAAUUUAGGCCAAACAUUGAUUGGGUACACAAGACACAUCAUGAAAUCUAUCAAAGAAAAACCCAAAUCCAAAUGGGUAACCAUAAACUAGCAAGAACUAGAAAGAAACUCACAAAGAAUUCGCCCAAACGCCACAAUACUUGUUGGACAGUAAUUUGAAAUACCUCCAAAUCUUCAACAUAAAACCCAAACACAACGGACGUCAACUAACCAAAGCUAGAACGUUAAUGGCAUUCGAGAUAACCCACUAAAAUUCGACGAAAAACAAAAAAAGGAUCUCACCCAAUGGAACCUCUAAUGAGCCCACUGGACAGUACUAGCGCAAGCUGCACAUCGACAACAAUAGAGAACUGAAUUGAUGGACGGCGACGUUCUACCUUCGGCUGGGCUGAAGUCUACCGAUCAAGGUGUGGGCGCUAGCGACUGGACACACGAAUGAUGGACUAUUGGGUUUUAUACCCUAAAAUUCGUAGAUAAAAAAUGUAAAUAAUUGACUAUUAUCAAUAAAGAGUUAUCGAUGUUGUUACAAUAA
Benincasa hispida (wax gourd) is the source of this 1781-nucleotide long non-coding RNA. RefSeq lists it as uncharacterized. NCBI's taxonomy places the organism in Eukaryota, Viridiplantae, Streptophyta, Magnoliopsida, Cucurbitales, Cucurbitaceae. The record is from RefSeq and is a predicted model, not a curated record.